This 3788-nucleotide long non-coding RNA is filed under the name Equus caballus (horse). Its description in RNAcentral is "lncRNA (ENSECAG00000051337.1)". Lineage: Eukaryota; Metazoa; Chordata; Mammalia; Perissodactyla; Equidae. The record is from RNAcentral.
GAUAUGUUACAUUACACGGCAAAAGGGAGUUUGUAGAUAUAAUUAAGGUAAUAGACCUUAACUUAUGCAGAGUCUUCUGGGUUAUCCAGGUGGGUCCAAUGUAAUCACGUGAGUGCUUAAAAGCAGAAGAGGACGUCUGAAGAUGAAAGCGAAGGGAUGUGGCAGACGGGGGAGUCAGAGAGAUUCCCGGGGUGAAAGGUAUUUGAGGUGUUAUUGCAGGCUCUGAGACAUGAAGGCCAUGUGCAGUAACUGGAGAAAGGCUUCUAGGAGCUCAUCCAAAGCAUCAGAAGGUACACAGACAGGCUCUAGGAGCAAAGACUGGUCCCUGGUGACAGCCAGCGAGGAGUUGGGAACCUCAGUCCUACAGCCACAAGGAACUGAAUUCAUCCAACAACUUGAAAGAGCUUGGAAGCAGAUUCAUCCCCGAGCCUCUGCGACACUAUGAAAGGAAUACAAGUACCAGAAGAUGGGAUCAUUAGGGGGCUGCAGACCACACUGAGUCUGUGCAGAGAAUGAAUGAUUUUCUCAUAUAAACUCAGCACAUUCUCAGCACCUGGUUUACCUGGGAAUGAAAAGCUCCCUCUGCCAAUACUAAAUUAUCCCAAUGUCCCUGCACUGUUACAAGAGGAAUGGUCAAAUUUAUCGUCAAGAGCCACCACUAGAAAUUAGAAAUGUCCUGAAAAGAAAAGGAGAUAGAGGGGGACAUAAUUCUUCAGGGUCCUUUCAUUGUUUAUGGGUUUGUUUGGUGAGUUGUUUAUCAUGAUGUUGCCAUGGCUUAAGUAGCUUUGCCAAGGGCUGAAUUUGCGCUCUCAGAUGUUGAGCCUAAUGUAAAUAAGGCAGCUGCUCCACUUGGGCUUGAUAAUUCCUGGGUGGAUGAAGAAUAGGGAACAGGUGGAAGGGCAACUGUAAUGACUCUUGAAUAGCUGGGCAACCGUUGAUGGCAAAGAAAGCUCUAAUUUGCUCCAUAUUUAGGAAUACUGUACCAAAUUGUGCUAACUUCUGUUGGUUUUUUUUUUUUUGUGCUUCACAAAAUUGGCCACAUGAAAGAUACCUGAGAAGCUUUUAGAAAUACUUAUUCCUAAGCCUCAUCACCAGAGAUUCUGAUUAAAUUAAUUAAGGUGGAGAUAAAGAAUCAAGCCCUUCUUUCUGGAAACUUUCCUCCAGAAUUGGUUUAGAUUGAAUCAUUCUUGUCACUAUAAAGAUCAAGCUGACCACUGGCCAACUUGCUGUUCCCAUGGAAAAGAACCUCAGAGAGUAAUGAAGAGCUCUACUUCUGUGCCUGACACAUAAAGGCUCUCAGAUAACACUUGUUGAAUUAGUAGAUGAAUAAAAUAAUACAUACUGAUGCUCAGUUGGAGGUACCGUAAAACUGCACCUGGUUUUAAUGAUCAGAUCGUGGAGUGACUUUAGGGUGGUCUUAAUAUUGAAUGAUUUACAUUUAAAAUCCAAAGGUUAGUUCCUUGUAUUCACGGGGAUGGCCUAAGGAUCAAAUGGAAAUUAUAAAAAAUUCCAAAAAUUUAUUACACUUUUCUACAUCGCACUGCCAUUUGAAGAGUCUUUUGUCUUUUCUACUGACAAUACAAGGAAUCUCUUCUAGAUCUUUAUCAUUUAAGGGCAGACAGCAUGCAGGAAAAGUAUUGAAAUGUCUUUUAUAGAGAGUUGUAGUAACGUUAGGAGACUUAUGGAAAGCACCGGCAAAUGUGUAGUAUGCCUUAAAAGUGACUGCACUUUAAACUACAGAAAGGAAAGGAGAGAUUUUCUGGAUGUCUUCUGCAGGUCCCAUUCGGUUUUUGAUAAUACAUAAAAUAUUGAGUAUUUUUGUGUUUUGUAUUUGCAGCUCUAGAAUUGGAAUUCAUGGCACCCAAGAAUCUAAUUUAUUUUCCAAGACCCGUUUUUGAACCCAGCUUCUGACUUCUUGCUCAUACUGUCAAAUAUCCCUAAGAAAUUCCCUCUCCCCCCUCUGCCACUUCCCAUUGCAAAGCCUGACUUCCCUUUUAGCUCAGGUGACAACAGGUGGUUAUUUUGUGAAUGCCAUUUUUUUCCUUGUUAAGCCUGUGGUUAUGUGUCAGUUUCCAGGAUUUCCAUUACCAAAACCAUCCCUCCCUCAAAAGUUCUAUUUUUAAAUAUCCUUUUAACUUUGGCUUGCUCUCCAUUAGCUGACCCGUCUUUUGACUUUUCUGUUCUAAGAAUAGAGGUAAGGACAAAAAGAUGCCGAGGGUUAUGUUAGUUUAUACUUGUUCCAAAGUGAUGUUGACCACAGGGAAUGCAUCACACCCUGUGUAUCCCAACCAGGAAAAAAAGUAUAAAGGAGCAGCUGCCAACUUUUCAGAAACAUGAUAGCCUUCCCUCCUCCUGCAAAUGGUUUUGUGAUUUGGUGGAAACAUAGCAAUUUAAAACCUUAGCUCAGUUGGGCUUGUCACCCACUUAACAACUGACUUCUGGCUUCUAUUACACUACGUAUUCAUUGCUGUUAAGAUGAGGUAGUGCUUUUCUUGGAUAGUUUGAAAAUUAUUAGAAUAAUUUUGAAUGUUUGUUUCAGUAUGGACCUCAAAAAAGAUAGCUGUUGUUGAUGUCAUCAUAAGCAGUUGUUGGAAGCUCUGGACCUUACAGUUUAAUAAAAAUAUUAGGAAAGGACAAAAUCAAUUAGCUUGAGAUAGUUGUAUAGAAAAUAAGGCUGCAUAGGGAGGGAGUAGAGGAGAUAGGGAGAGGAGUAGAAAUGGGAGAAUAAGGCUUGGAUAGAGAGUAUAUCAAUUUUUGCUGGUAUCUUCAAACUCUAUCGGUUUUCUCUUUAACAUGUAAUUAAAUGUAAGCCUCUCAUUUUGGAAAAUAAAACUCUCCUUUAGACUAUCCUCAUUCAAUAAUCCUCUUCUGUAUUUUCCUUUCAAAGUGCCUGAAAGAACAAUGUCUUGUCUUCACCGUUCCCGUUUGCUUCUCCACCCAGUGCAAUCUAUCUUUCUCCUCCAUAGCUAUUCCAUAACUGCUUCUGUCAAGGGGCCUGGCAAUCUCGAAUUUUCUUCACAUCAUUUGAAGAUAUGGAUCACUGCUUCUCUCUCUCCUCUCCUGGCUUCUUGUAUCCCACUCUCACCCCAUUCUCCAUUCAUCUCUUUGGCCACUCCUUCUUCAAGUCUCCUUAGUGAGUUUGCCUUCCUUGUCUGCCUAUAGGUGUAGUGUGCUCUAGUUCCCAGGCCACUCUUCUCUCAUUUGAAACAUUCUCCUGCAUUUUAUUUUUUCUACACUCAGAAUUUUGGCUAUCAUCUCUAUUUUUUUUUUAUUGAAUAUAUUUGAUGUAUAACAUUAUGAAAAUUUAAGAUGUACAACUUGUUACUUUGAUACAUAUGUUGUAAUAGCCAUUGUAGUGAUAUUUAUCACAUCACAUAAUUGUAGUACGAUAUUGUCUAUAUUCAUUAUACUAUGUGUUGGAUCUCUAUGGCUUAUUUACUACUUAUUGCAAGUUUGUACCCUUAAACAGCAUCAAUCCUAUCCCCCCACCCUCCACUCCCUGGGAACCACCAUUUUACUGUUUUUUAUGAUUUUUGACUUUUUUAGAUUCCACAUAUAAGUGAUAUCAUACUUUUUCUCUGUCUGACUUAUCUCACUUAGCAUAAUAUGCUCAAGGUCCAUCCAUGUUGUUGCAAAUGGCAGGAUAUCCUCCUUUCUUAUGGCUGAAUAAUAUUCCGUUGUGUAUAUAUACCACAUCUUUUUUUAUCCAUUCAUCUGUUGAUGGACAUUAGGUUGUUUUCAUAUCUUGGCUGUUAUGAAUAAUGCUGCAAUAAACAUGGGAGCACAUA